Molecule: transfer RNA, 66 nt
Filed under: Batracomorphus lateprocessus
Lineage: Eukaryota; Metazoa; Arthropoda; Insecta; Hemiptera; Cicadellidae
Also listed under: 1 other name
Description: tRNA-Pro
Source: RNAcentral
CAACAAAUAUUUUAUUAAAAAUUUAAUUUUUGGGAAAUUAGGAUAGGAUUAUUAUUCUUUUGUUGA